GGAAACGGCCUGGCGCGAGGAGAGGGUCCUGCGUCUGAUUAGCUAGUUGUGGGGUAACGGGCCUACCAAGGCACCGAUCAGUAGCCGGCCUGAGAGGGUGAUCGGCCACACUGGAACUGAGACACGGUCCAGACUCCUACGGGAGGCAGCAGUGGGGAAUUUUGCGCAAUGGACGUAAAGUCUGACGCAGCAACGCCGCGUGGGUGAUGAAGGUCUUCGGAUUGUAAAACCCUGUCGUCGGGGACGAAGGUAGGGGGGUUAAUAGCCCUUUUGCUUGACGGUACCCGGAGAGGAAGCCCCGGCUAACUCUGUG
RNAcentral lists this ribosomal RNA (313 nucleotides) under uncultured bacterium. RNAcentral's name for it is "bacterial SSU rRNA". It matches the Rfam family "Bacterial small subunit ribosomal RNA", at positions 199 to 507 of the family's 1533-position model. The record is from RNAcentral.